GCGAUAGAAGCGGCAUCCUUUUUCUUAUGACUGGCGAAAGCCAAGAAGAAGAAAAAGAUAUAGCGGAUAGCGCG
This 74-nucleotide small RNA is filed under the name Halpernia frigidisoli. RNAcentral's name for it is "Chryseobacterium frigidisoli Flavo-1 RNA". It matches the Rfam family "Flavo-1 RNA", at positions 9 to 69 of the family's 76-position model. The record is from RNAcentral. Lineage: Bacteria; Pseudomonadati; Bacteroidota; Flavobacteriia; Flavobacteriales; Weeksellaceae.